This 59-nucleotide microRNA precursor is filed under the name Scyliorhinus torazame (cloudy catshark). RNAcentral describes it as "Sto-Mir-135-P2_pre stem-loop". The record is from RNAcentral. Lineage: Eukaryota; Metazoa; Chordata; Chondrichthyes; Carcharhiniformes; Scyliorhinidae.
UAUGGCUUUUUAUUCCUAUGUGAUUGGGAUACAGUGCACAUAGGGAGGGAAGCCAUGGA